This 764-nucleotide long non-coding RNA is filed under the name Daucus carota (carrot). RNAcentral describes it as "long non-coding RNA (DCAR_LNC004156)". The record is from RNAcentral. Lineage: Eukaryota; Viridiplantae; Streptophyta; Magnoliopsida; Apiales; Apiaceae.
CGUAAAAGUAUAAUAAGCAAAACAUACUAUUCUAUUGACAUAAUCAUCUACGAUGAUGUGGCUUAAAAGAUCCAUAAAAGAAGAAUCACCAACUUCAAAGCGAUGUGUUACUUAUGCUUUUUAAUCAUUGUAUCACAGUAUUCCAACAGAAAGUGGGAUAUUGAAGGCCAUCAACAUAAAUAAAACCCUUGUGAACACCAGAAUAAACACAAAAGAACUGAGCCAUAUUCUUUUCUUGAUACAUGAUAUUAUGGAAUUUGAAUUCCAUAACCACCUUGCCCUUACCAUUGGAAGCAUGCCUAUCUAUAACAUAAGUUGUCAUCAAGGAUGAAGGUUCCUUUAUAACAAUACCCACAAUAUCCUGGAAAAAAAACAUUAUGAUUAACAGAGGACGGUUCCAAGAGAGGAGUGAAAAAAUAACCAAUAAUCUACACAUGCCUCUAAGGCAUGAGAGAUCUGCACUUGUGAAAUAGCAAAUUCAAUAUGCACUAAAAAGGGGUUUAGCAAUCAUACCAUUAAUGAAAACCUGAUCAGUAAGAGAAUUAACAAAUCUUUCAUCAACUUGAACCAACGGAGGGAUUGAAUAAACAGAGGUUGGAGUUUGAAGUGCUUCACCUUACACCAAGUUCAGCUAUAUGUCAAAAACGUGACAUAAUGGAUCACUUUUAUAACAUAGAACUCUUAACAGAAUUCACAUAAAAAAGAUUAACAUUUUAUCAAUAACCUCAAAUCAAUCAAAACAUCCAAGAUCUAACAUACUUUCU